RNAcentral lists this ribosomal RNA (287 nucleotides) under Escherichia coli 2-005-03_S3_C1. Its description in RNAcentral is "partial 16S ribosomal RNA". The record is from RNAcentral. Lineage: Bacteria; Pseudomonadati; Pseudomonadota; Gammaproteobacteria; Enterobacterales; Enterobacteriaceae.
CUUAAGCAAUCACGCGAAGCGCAAUCUGCCAUUAUGACCGAUGAAAUCCCGUUAGAUGAUGCACUGUUACAAUUGCGGGAAUUUAUCGACGAAAACUCCGGUGAAUUUUUUGUUCAGGUUUGGGGAAAUGGAGCCAACUUCGACAACACGAUUUUGCGCCGUUCAUACGAACGGCAGGGGAUCCCCUGCCCGUGGCGUUACUACAACGAUCGCGAUGUACGCACAAUCGUUGAGCUGGGGAAAGCCAUAGACUUCGAUGCCAGAACGGCUAUUCCAUUCGAAGGUGA